GUGCCAGCAGCUGCGGUAAUACGUAGGUGGCAAGCGUUGUCCGGAUUUACUGGGCGUAAAGGGAGCGUAGGCGGAUACUUAAGUGGGAUGUGAAAUACCUGGGCUUAACUUGGGUGCUGCAUUCCAAACUGGGUGUCUAGAGUGUUGGAGAGGAAAGUGGAAUUCCUAGUGUAGCGGUGAAAUGCGUAGAGAUUAGGAAGAACACCAGUGGCGAAGGCGACUUUCUGGACAAUAACUGACGCUGAGGCUCGAAAGCGUGGGAGCAAACAGGAUUAGAUACCCUGGUAGUCCACGCCGUAACGAUGGGUACUAGGUGUAGGGGUAUC
RNAcentral lists this ribosomal RNA (326 nucleotides) under uncultured bacterium. Its description in RNAcentral is "bacterial SSU rRNA". It matches the Rfam family "Bacterial small subunit ribosomal RNA", at positions 505 to 832 of the family's 1533-position model. The record is from RNAcentral.